AGAACUACUCACGGCGCUCAGAGGAGAUUUCCUCCUCUCCCUCUUUCCAGGGUGGGUGGGAUGCUAGCGGCGGACCUUUCUGUUAUUGUUAACCAUUGAUGUAUUUCAAAUGGAGUGAGGAACAGUACAGACAGAGAAACUCUUAUCGUGGAUGAGAGUGAUGUCUGAGACAGAUGAAUGGACUGUUGAGAGGAGGAGUUUGUCUGUUUAUCUCGGUCUUCCCGUAAACAGGGUCUAGCUAUCCCUCAAGCCUUCCAAACCAUGUGGGUGGCUCUGGUGACUGGCACGCCGGACUGCUUCAUUCAUUUACCACAAGGG
Molecule: long non-coding RNA, 318 nt
Filed under: Salmo salar (Atlantic salmon)
Lineage: Eukaryota; Metazoa; Chordata; Actinopteri; Salmoniformes; Salmonidae
Description: lncRNA (ENSSSAG00000099242.1)
Source: RNAcentral